Molecule: ribosomal RNA, 439 nt
Filed under: uncultured bacterium
Lineage: Bacteria
Description: partial 16S ribosomal RNA
Rfam family: Bacterial small subunit ribosomal RNA
Source: RNAcentral
CUACGGGACGCUGCAGUGAGGAAUAUUGCACAAUGGGGGGAACCCUGAUGCAGCAACGCCGCGUGGAGGAUGACGCAUUUCGGUGUGUAAACUCCUUUUAUAUGUCAAGAAAAUGACGGUAGCAUAUGAAUAAGCACCGGCUAACUCCGUGCCAGCAGCCGCGGUAAUACAGAGGGUGCAAGCGUUACUCGGAAUCACUGGGCGUAAAGGACGCGUAGGCGGGGUGGAAAGUCAGGUGUGAAAUCCUACAGCUUAACUGUAGAACUGCACUUGAAACUUCUAAUCUAGAGUAUGGGAGGGGGAGAUGGAAUUAGUGGUGUAGGGGUAAAAUCCGUAGAUAUCACUAGGAAUACCUAAAGCGAAGGCGAUCUCCUGGAACAUUACUGACGCUAAGGCGUGAAAGCGUGGGGAGCAAACAGGAUUAGAUACCCGUGUAGUC